Molecule: ribosomal RNA, 240 nt
Filed under: Triticum aestivum (bread wheat)
Lineage: Eukaryota; Viridiplantae; Streptophyta; Magnoliopsida; Poales; Poaceae
Description: partial small subunit ribosomal RNA
Source: RNAcentral
AUGGUGGCGACGGGGCCUCGGUUGCCCUGCAUCUGCGUGGGGAACCCCGGAUCUGGAGCGGCGGCUCCAUUGGCAAGGCACGGUCGGCUAGCAGCCAUGCGGGCGGGUGGAUCUGGUGUCCCGGCCGCGCGGGCGGCAGGAUCCGGUGGUCAUUGGCGGUUGGCGGCGGCUUCUGCGGCGGUCGGUGCGCGCGAUCUGGCGCCUCCCCUCCUCCCCUGUUCGGCGUGCGGGCCAGCCUAG